UGUGUAGGCGGUUCUUUAAGUUUGGUGUGAAAUCUCCCGGCUCAACCGGGGGGGCGCGCCGAAUACUGAGGGACUAGAGUGUGGGAGAGGAAAGUGGAAUUCCUGGUGUAGCGGUGAAAUGCGUAGAUAUCAGGAGGAACACCGGUGGUGUAGACGGCUUUCUGGACCAUAACUGACGCUGAGACACGAAAGCGUGGGUAGCAAAACA
RNAcentral lists this ribosomal RNA (208 nucleotides) under uncultured bacterium. RNAcentral's name for it is "partial 16S ribosomal RNA". It matches the Rfam family "Bacterial small subunit ribosomal RNA", at positions 568 to 775 of the family's 1533-position model. The record is from RNAcentral.